CGCGCCCGCCGCUCCCCAGAAACAAGCACGGCCGCAGCACAGUCAGCGUUCACUGUGCUGCUCAGCUGCCGCCCAGGCACUCUGCUCCCGAGGAACGCGCCAGGCGCCGGCGCCGCGAUGGAAGCCGCGGCGGCGGCCGUGGCGUGCCGAGGAGGCGUGGUGCUCGCGCGGGCACGCCCCGGUCACCGGUCCCGGCGCCACGGCGUAGGCGCGGGAGCCGGACCCGCCGCCCGACGGAGGUUCCUCGUCGUGGCGUCGCUCGGAGAAGCCCCCUCCGCGCCCUCGCGCAGCGCCGUGGCGGUCGCGCACGAGAUCGCGCAGGCCGCCGACGAGGACGUCGCCUCUGUCAGAGUUGUGCUGAUGAUGGCCGUCGGCCCAGCCUCGACCGCAAUCCCGCCGCCCCCCGACGAUCACGCGAACACGGUGCGCGUCACGUUCGUGCUGGAGAAGAAGUGCGCGUUCGGGCAGCGGUUCCUCGUCGUCGGCGACGACCCGGCGCUCGGCCUCUGGGACCCGGCCAAGGCGACCGCCCUGGACUGGUCGGCGGGCCACGUCUGGACGGCGAGGGCGGAUUUGCCAGCGAACAGGCUGGUCGAGUUCAAGUUCUUGCUGCAGGACCCCUCCGGCCACGUCCGCUGGCAGCACGGCGGCAACAGGGCUCUGCAGGUAACCGAGGCCUCCAACGCGUUGGUCGUGUACGAAGACUGGGACGACGCCGGGUGCCAGGAAGUGUCGGAGGCGGCAUUACAUCUGCCGAUCGGAGCGGAGGAGACCGACGCGCUGCUGCUGGCAGAUGAUGGCCGGACCGACGACGGCGAUCAGGAGACCUACGAGGGCUUCAUGCAUGCCGAGAAGGCACCUGCGGCUGCAGAAGCUUCCCUGCACGCGGAAACGACGUGGGUACAUGGAAUGAACCGGCCACAGUUUACCUUGCAGAAAGACGAGAAGAUUCCAGAGGAGCUUCGCAGGAGAGCAAACAUGGCGGCAGCACAAAACGGCGGCCUUGCUUCUGCCGGAAUAAACGGCGACGACAUCAUCUUGUACGAGGAAGCUGCGAACAGGCCGGCCAGUAUGUUCGAAAACGACAUGGUCUGGAUCGGGAAAGCCCUCCAGGGGUUGCUCCGGAACCUUGGUUUCCACAUCGGCACAACAAAAACAUGAAAAAUAAGCAUCCUGUGUACGUACGGUACAGAUCAUAUACUGUUUCUUUUUUUUUUGAGGGAUCAUAUAAUGUUUCUUACUGUAGUUGAGAACCAUUUUUCCUUUUCACGAUGCAUGCAACCCCGAAGGAAUGAGAUUGCCGGGAGCUGCAACGCAAACAGUCGCUGCACACUGUUGCCGGUAGGAACUCCUCCAGUGGAAGCUGUUAAUAUUGUUAUCAGUGGUUUCGACUUCUUAUCUACUACCUCCGUUCCAAAAUAGAUGACCCAACUUAUACUAAUUUGGGUCAUCUAUUUUGAAACGGAGGAAGUAGUUACCAAUGAUAAGACUGAGAUAAUUCAUUGUACAAUAUUUUUCAUUGCAAUAUAUAUUAGUGACGGAUGUAAGAUAAUACUUACUAUUUUAUCAACCAUUGGCCACGCCCUUAUACUCAUCACGCA
RNAcentral lists this ribosomal RNA (1601 nucleotides) under Triticum aestivum (bread wheat). RNAcentral describes it as "partial small subunit ribosomal RNA". Lineage: Eukaryota; Viridiplantae; Streptophyta; Magnoliopsida; Poales; Poaceae. The record is from RNAcentral.